GAUGAACGCUGGCGGCGUGCUUAACACAUGCAAGUCGAACGGAAAGGCCUUGCGUUUGCGGGGUGCUCGAGUGGCGAACGGGUGAGUAAUACGACAUUCACCUGCCAGUGACUUAGGGAUAACUUAUGGAAAUUGAGGCUACUAACGGAUAUGGGCUCCCGUUGUUUGGUGGGGGUUAGUGCGUUUUGGAGGUGGGGGCAGGAGUCGGGUCUUAUCAGUUGGUUGGUGGGGUAGUGGCUUACCAAGGCUUGGAAGGGUAGCCGGCCUGAGAGGGCGACCGGCCACAUGGGGACUGAGAUGCCGCCCGGACUCAUACGGGAGGCAGGAGUGGGGGAUAGUGCACAAUGGGCGGAAGCCUGAUGGAAGAACGCCGCGUGCGGGAUGACGGCCUUCGGGUUAUAAGCCGCUUUCGCCUGGGACGUAGCGGUAGUGACGGGAAUGGGAAAAAAAGCACCGGCUAACUACGGU
Molecule: ribosomal RNA, 468 nt
Filed under: uncultured bacterium
Lineage: Bacteria
Description: partial 16S ribosomal RNA
Rfam family: Bacterial small subunit ribosomal RNA
Source: RNAcentral